Molecule: long non-coding RNA, 278 nt
Organism: Cyanistes caeruleus (blue tit)
Lineage: Eukaryota; Metazoa; Chordata; Aves; Passeriformes; Paridae
Source: RefSeq, a predicted model, not a curated record
UGUGGCAUCUCUGCAGAGCCUGGAAAUUCACCCAUGUUGCAGGGGCUGUAUUGAAGCUGGUGAGACUGCUCACAGGAGAGAGAUUAAGUAUUCAUGCAAGCAUUUGCAAGGUUUCCAUCAGAGCCUCUGCAGUUGCCAACCACUGAACAUCCCUUGUGCUCUCUGGUUUCUGUGAUCCCUGUAUGUUUGUGAGGAGGAAAAACUGAGCCACUUGCAAACUGAUAAACAGAGGGGCCUCUGUACAGCUGAUGCCCUCAUUUUCUAGGUCAGACUAGCCA